GGUUAAGCGACUAAGCGUACACGGUGGAUGCCCUGGCAGUCAGAGGCGAUGAAGGACGUGCUAAUCUGCGAAAAGCGUCGGUAAGGUGAUAUGAACCGUUAUAGCCGGCGAUGUCCGAAUGGGGAAACCCAGUGUGAUUCGUCACACUAUCGUUAACUGAAUACAUAGGUUAACGAGGCGAACCGGGGGAACUGAAACAUCUAAGUACCCCGAGGAAAAGAAAUCAACCGAGAUUCCCCCAGUAGCGGCGAGCGAACGGGGAGCAGCCCAGAGUCUGAAUCAGCUUGUGUGUUAGUGGAACGGUCUGGAAAGUCCGACGGUACAGGGUGAUAGUCCCGUACACCAAAAUGCACAGGUUGUGAACUCGAAGAGUAGGGCGGGACACGUGGUAUCCUGUCUGAAUAUGGGGGGACCAUCCUCCAAGGCUAAAUACUCCUGACUGACCGAUAGUGAACCAGUACCGUGAGGGAAAGGCGAAAAGAACCCCGGCGAGGGGAGUGAAAAAGAACCUGAAACCGUGUACGUACAAGCAGUGGGAGCACC
This 543-nucleotide ribosomal RNA is filed under the name Klebsiella sp. 141203. RNAcentral's name for it is "partial 23S ribosomal RNA". It matches the Rfam family "Bacterial large subunit ribosomal RNA", at positions 1 to 583 of the family's 2925-position model. Lineage: Bacteria; Pseudomonadati; Pseudomonadota; Gammaproteobacteria; Enterobacterales; Enterobacteriaceae. The record is from RNAcentral.